UAAUCUCUCCAUCUCCUCCUUGAGCUCUGCCACCAGGCUGAUCAGAUCCUCAACCUGCUCGCACCUCACACAGGUGGUAUCUCUUCCACCCUCUAUUGGCAGCAACAGACUCAGGCAAUCCCUGCAGCCAGAGCCAGAACAGCCACAUUUUUGGGCAGGCAUUCAAUGUGGGUUGCCACAGUCUUUUGGCAAGAGCUUUCUGCCUGGUGGAGGCCGUGGCUGGAUUUGCUGUCUGGGAGGCAGUCGAUAGGUGGUAGCUGUUGUUAUGGACUUUUGAUCUUUUAAGCAUUAGGCUCAUCAAACAAUGAAUUGCAUAAUGGGUGAGGUUGAAAGGGACCUCUGAAGAUCAUGUAGUCCAAUGCCUCUGCUGAGCAGGAUCACCUAGAGCACAUUGGACAGGAUGGCAUCCAAGCAAGUUUUGAAUAUCGCCAGAGAAGGAGACUGCACAACCUCUCUGGGCAACCUGUUCCAGUGCUCUGUCACCCGCACAGUAAAGAAGUACCCCCUCAUAUUGAGCCAGAACUUCCUGUGCUUCAGUUUGUGUGUUACCUCUUGACCUGUUGCUGGGCACAACUGAAAAGAAACCUGCUUCAUCCCCGUGACAUCCUCCCCUCGGAUAUUUAUACAUAUUAAUGAGGUCUCCCCUCAGUCUUCUCUUUUCCAGCCUAAACAUGCCCAGCUCCCUCAGCCUGUCAACAGGUGCUCCAGUCCUCCCAUCAUCUUCGUAGCCCUCCUCUGGACUCCUUCCAGUAGUUCUAUGUCUCUCUUGUACUGGGGAGCCCAGAACUGGACACAAUACUCCAGGUGUAGCCUCACCAGGGCUGAGUAGAGGAGGAGGAUAACUUCCCUUGACCUUCUGGCUCCCUUUCACUCCUAUGUCCCCUUUCUCCCUUUCUUUCUCUCUCUCUUUUUUUUUUUUUUUUUUUUUUUCCUCCAUCAAUCCUAUACACUUCAGCAUUAACUUGUGCUUGAGUCAGACUCUAAAAGCUCCUAGUUGCUGUGUUUCUACUAAAUCCAGAUACUCCAGUUAACUAAAAAUGCAUUUGCAAUGUCAUUUGCCAUCACUUCAGCCGUGUCCAAGAAUGUAAACAUUUUUACUCAAAAGUGAUGGCAAGGAUUUUCUUCAGGUAACUUUAGAGGUACAGAAUUUAAGCUGAUGAUCUGGAGAUGAAUGUUUUUCUAUCUCUUUGCCAUAUCUAGACCAUGCUCCAAAAGGUCGCCAUGAAACACACCAACAGGGGAGACAUAAUAAAAGCUGCAAAAUAUGUUAAUUUCUGUAAUAAUUCCUUCUCUUAGAUGUAAAAUUGUUAAAAUAAAACUCAGUAGAUAAGUGACAAGUCUAGAGAUAAUACAGCCCCCAGCAACAGACCAGUGAUUGAUUGAUGUGUUACAUAUUACCUAAAAAUAAAAAUGGUCCUCACAUCUUUCCUCCUACAGACUAGAUGUUAAUCUUAGCUGUGUUCUGGUCUAGCCCCCUGUCACAGAAAUAUUCUAGAACAAUUCGAAAAUUAGAAAACAAUCUUCUAUCCUGUUCAUGUUAAUAAGAGAAUGUCACCUUUUCCCAGUUAACUGCAGAAAAUAUAUGUUUCUGUCACACAGGAAAUUUUUGUAAGGAAAAAAAGAGACACAUCCAAAAUCAAGCAGAAGGAAGAAUGUACUAUAUUUAGUUGGCAAGGAAAUCUAUA
This is a non-coding RNA of Anas platyrhynchos (mallard), 1685 nucleotides long. NCBI's taxonomy places the organism in Eukaryota, Metazoa, Chordata, Aves, Anseriformes, Anatidae. The record is from RefSeq and is a predicted model, not a curated record.